AAAGGGGUUAUUUGUGCAAUUAUGUGUUAUGUGUUUAUCUGCCUAUGUGGUAUGUAUAUGCGAAGGGUAGAUAUAUAUAGGUCUUAAUACUUUUCAGAGUUAGUUAAUUUGUCUGAUCCGACGGUUAAAAUACUAUUUUACUAUCGUAUAGAAUUGAAGACAUUGACCGAGGCAUUGAUCGAGAAGUGAUUGAAAUGGGUAUCCAGAAUUAGCCAAGUAGUGUUGCAAGUUGAAGUAGGGCGGAGAUUUGUUAUAGAUAAAAGCUUGUCAGAAGCUGGCAGAAAGGAAUGAUAUGGCGGUAUAUAGUAUUAUUAGAAAUCUGACCUAGACACCGGAGUUAAGGCAAGUACUUCUACCUUUCUCUCGCAAUUUAGAAGCAAGUAUUUCUACCCUACUCCUCUAGUACCUAUAGAUACUAAAACCUUCUUUAUAUCAUGAUUCAAAUUAUUUGCAAUUACUUUCUUGUGAAGCAUAUCUAGUACUUUUAAACCUUUUGGUUGAACGGAUAACACUUUUGGUAUCGACUCUACACUAUGAUAUGCAUAAAGAAAUUGUUUUAACAAAAUGUUGUUCUGGCUCUUGAAUUACAUGAUAGAACUGCAGAUUGUUUUAAAAAUUAAACUGUUAGGUUGUUUUUGCGUAAGAGGCUCGGGCACCGGCCCAGCGUGAAAGGUGGCUCCUUAAGCCCGGAUUACCGGAAUUCGUAAUAUUUGUCAACCUUGCUGAAUAAGCUUGGUUUAUGGACUAUAGCAUGACUGAUCAUCUGUUAUAGCCAGGUGUCCAAUUAUUUUUAAAGCCCAAUAAAAUUGUGAAUAGUUUAAAAAGAAGUUACCCUGCCUUCAAGAGAUAUUUGCUUAUACAUUCAUUUCUGCAGUUUUAAAUAUUUUCACUUCUUUAUUAUGGCAUUGCUGUACAACAAAUAUCAAUUUCAUUUUGUUAUUCUUGCUGAGCAUUAUUGCUCAUUCUUGCUAUUCCUUCUAACCCUUUUCAGCUAGGAAUAAAGAUGAUUCACUUAAGACUAGGCAAGGAUUGCAAGUGGUUGAGUUUCAAGCAGAUGGACAGGUAGAGUAUUUAGGACGAUGUCAUUAAGACUAGAUGCAGUUGGAGUUCUGCAAUUCAAUUCAGUUGGAAAUUAGAUUUGUUUAUUUGGUUAUCAGCUACUCUUCUUAUCGAGGUUUAGCUGAUAAUGUUGUUUAAUUUGUAAAUAAGAUUUUAUAGUUUUAGUUUCUGAUUUCAAUGCUGUAGCCUGUAUGCGAUCCUGUUUUCAGGGGGUGAAAUUGAUUUUGAAUUAAAGACCUUCUUUUAAAAAAAUAAUAUAUCCAGGUUUAGAAAUACUUGUUUUUACUUUCUUCCAAAAAUACAGGUUUUAAAUUGUUUUUCUUUUAAUGGCUCAAAACUACAGGUUUUAAAUUAUUUUUAUUUACACGUGGCACCAGAUCUAGACCCCCGGAUUUGAGGGAUGUCACAGUUGGUAUCAGAGCUACAGGUUAUAAGUUAUUGAAAUCAGAAUGUAGGUUGUAACUUGUCUAAUAAGAUAGACACGUUAAGUGAAACCUCACAUAUAGGUAAGUUCAGAUUAGUGGUGUAACCUCAUAUAGAGGUAUCGUAAGACUAUUUGGGGAUAGUCCUUUUGAGCAUAAUAAAAUGAAGCUAAACGAUUAUGUUUAAGUGAUUAUGGUUAUAGACACAACAAUUCCUAAUUCUAGUUCUUCCAGUCCCUAGUGGCCUAGUUUAUUGACCAAUUCAGAUUUAUAUCAUUGUAAGAGGGUCAAAGUUAGACCUAUCAACAGAACCUUCAAGCUAGAACCAGUAGAGAUUCUCACACAGUCUAAUGUAUCCUUUAUAGUAUCUUCCAAGUGUUGAGUAUUAUUUGAAGAGUCACCUUUUGAUUCUUGUCAGAGAUAUCUAGAAUUGGUGAAAGAAUAGAGGUGUUAACAAGUCCGAGUUUACAGCUUUGUAUAUAGUUAAGUAGUGAGCGUUAGAGCUACGUAGAGUUCGUGUUAGAUUAUUCGAUCUAGUACUUAUGUGUGAGUUAAGACGUCAACGCUCUAUGGUGAUGAUUGUAUAAAGUUGGAUAAGACUUUUGACCGACAACGAUAUCAAUGAUGGGAUCUUCAGAGGCUAUUACUAGUCAACGAUAAUAUAUGCAAGUGGUCACUAAAACGUCAAGAAGAAUCACUAGAAUCAGAACGAGUCAUCAAAAGAAUCGAUCAAGAAGACAUCUGUGAGAAUCCUGGCAAUACCUUCCUCAUUGUUGAUAUAUUGAUUUCUUUCCCCAUCAAUGAUUUGUUCUGACAUCACUUAAAAAAAAAAAUAUUUGAUAAAGAGUAUAUUUUUACCUUUCACUCGAGUUCUCGAAUGAUACUUGUGCUUACUGUCAGACCUAUAGAAUCUAUUCAAUCUUGGUAAUUUCGAACCCUUUCAUAUUCUCUACUCUAACUGAGAUGAACAACCCUACCUAUAGGGGACACAAGGACUACCUGUCUGUGUGAUAGGAGUUGGAUGGGACGCCAUCACUUGUGUGUGUUGUACAUUACAAGAAGGUUAACUACCUUUAGUAGUGUCUUAAAUUAGACACGCAACACCGAGUUCUAUAGACCAUAUUGAUCUCUCAGUUAUUCAUUUAUUUCAAUCACGUAACACUUGCUCCAAUAUGUGAAAUCUGUCAUAUCUUUUACCUUCAAGAUUCUUCUAAUCUCUAAUAGUUGGAGGUAUGCCAACCGAGUUGCCAAUAUGAAUUAAGACUUUGUAGUAAGAAGCACCAGGGAUGAAAGCGAAUGACAAUGCUGGUUAUAUCAGAAAGGAAUAUUAUGGAUUAUAGAGAUCGUACGCUCUAGUUUUCUUUUUGAUGAUUCCGAGGACGGAAUCUUUUUAAGGGGGGUAGAUUGUGACGACCCGGAUUUUCAGAAAUUAUUUUAUUAUUUUUAUUCAUGAUUAUUCGAGACAAAUGAGGAAUAAAUUUCAAUAUUUUAUUCUAGUUUGAUAAUUUUCAAAAAUAUUUGUUUAAAUUAUUUUCCUAGUCAUUGUGAUUAUGAGAAAAUAUCUGUUGAUUGUACAAUUAUAUGUUACGAGAUUUAAUUGAAUUAGUUGUCUACUAUUAUGUCUGUGUGUGCAUUUAUUUUUACUUUUAAUAUUACUGUAUUGUUUUAUUGAAAUUUAUUAUCCUCUUAAAUGGAUAUUUAUUUUUGUAAAAAUACAAAGAUAAUUUCAAAAAUUAUUUUAAUUGCUCGAUAGUGAUCAUAAAUAUGUUUAGAAGUUUUUAAAAUAUUAAAAAUCCAAUUUCUACAAGGACAUGAUUUUUAAUUAGUUUCUAAACGCAGCUAACUUCUUAAUUUUGUAUAAAUUUUGAAAAUGCUCUAUAAAUCUUGAAACUUUUAUUUUAUGAGUUUUAUAAUAUUCGGUAAUUUAUAAAAUUAGUUUGUUAAUUUUUCGAGAAAGUUUUAAUGCGAGUUAUCCCGUAAAUCAACUAAAUAGCGGGUGUUUGGAUGAUUAUUCAGCUUAAAAUAAAACGUGGCAGCCUUUGGCCAAACCACGUGCCCUGCUUUUCACCACCGCCAUCCCUUUUCUUCAUUUUAUAUACAUCAGCCUCUCAAUCUCUCUCUCUCUCUCUCUGUGAAAUCCUCCAUCUCUCCCUCUCCGCUCCUCUUUCUUUUCUCACCCAUCUUCCUCUCUUUCUUGGCAUCACCGUCCCUUCCCUGCAGCCGCCGAAUUAUGCCGCUGCCACCUCUUUCCGGCGACCACCAUAGCCCUGCACCAAUUAUAAAUCAGUGGGUAUAAAGCUUAAUUUCUCUUUGUCAAAUCAGUUCUAUAUAAACGUAUAUAUACAUGUGGUGUUGUGUUUAUAUGGUUUAAUUUGAUUUAUAUAAUCGAUUUAUGUGUGCUUGUAUGUAUAUAAACUGAUUAUAUGCUGGUUAUUGAAAUUUGAAGGUUGAUUGAAUUUUUGAGAUUGAGAUUGGUGUUAGUAAUCGUAUGAUUGAAUUGUGUGCUUAAUUGAUAUUUGAAUUGGUUGUUGGAGGUUCAUUAUAAAUGGUGCGCCAACUAGUAGUGUAAUCGGAUGACUUGGGUACUUGAUUUAUGGGAAUAUAUAACUGAGUAUUAAAGCUUUAAGGUCUGAGAUUUUGUGUAAAUGUUUUCAGAAUGGUGUUUUAAGAGUUUAAGUAUUGAGCUAAAAAAAAUUUAGAUUUACACAUAAUCGGUUGAAUUGUAAGUUGCUGCUGAUCUGUUUUGCAGUAAAAUUCUGGGCUUCUAGAGUCGAAUUAUAUGCUUAAUAUUUUUGUGGUUAUGUGCUCCUCAGAGUCUAGUUUAUGUGCGCAAAAGAAUCGAAUCAAUUCGAUUAGCGAGCUAGGAGAUAUGACCGUUUUAGUAUAGUAUGGUGCUGAAAAUUCUGGGCAGGUUUGUCCUGUUCUAGGCUCUGUUUUACUGCUUUAAACUUGAAGUUUCUUUCUGAAAAUUUUACUGUAGGUUGGAAUAAUAUUCAGGAGUGUCUCAUAAAAAUUUUGUAUUUAAAAGAUAAAUUUUCAAUUUAUUAAAAAUCAUAGACCGAGGGCUGUUUGAACUAUUUGUUCUAGUUUUUCUUUCUUUGCUAGUGCAUAGUAUGAGGUUAUACUUGGCUAAUUGCAUAUGAUUGAUUAUUACAUUGAUUGGCUCGGUUAACCUUUAUAUCUAAUUAAACGUGCUUUGCGUAUAACAAAUUAGUAAUCCUGCUAAAAGAUUUUAUUAUAUGUUCACUACAAGUCAAGACAGAUUUUCUGUUCACUGCAAGCCAAGGGAUCUUUUUUUAUAUUAAUAAUUCAUGUGUUAGCAAUGGUAUUGGUUGGUUGUUGGUAUUGCAAACAGGUGGAUAGUCCGAUAAACAGAGGAGAUGAUGCCGAAUUUUCGUUAGGAAUUAUAUGUAUUUAAUGGCUAUAAAAAGGGGUUAUUUGUGCAAUUAUGUGUUAUGUGUUUAUCUGCCUAUGUGGUAUGUAUAUGCGAAGGGUAGAUAUAUAUAGGUCUUAAUACUUUUCAGAGUUAGUUAAUUUGUCUGAUCCGACGGUUAAAAUACUAUUUUACUAUCGUAUAGAAUUGAAGACAUUGACCGAGGCAUUGAUCGAGAAGUGAUUGAAAUGGGUAUCCAGAAUUAGCCAAGUAGUGUUGCAAGUUGAAGUAGGGCGGAGAUUUGUUAUAGAUAAAAGCUUGUCAGAAGCUGGCAGAAAGGAAUGAUAUGGCGGUAUAUAGUAUUAUUAGAAAUCUGACCUAGACACCAGAGUUAAGGCAAGUACUUCUACCUUUCUCUCGCAAUUUAGAAGCAAGUAUUUCUACCCUACUCCUCUAGUACCUAUAGAUACUAAAACCUUCUUUAUAUCAUGAUUCAAAUUAUUUGCAAUUACUUUCUUGUGAAGCAUAUCUAGUACUUUUAAACCUUUUGGUUGAACGGAUAACACUUUUGGUAUCGACUCUACACUAUGAUAUGCAUAAAGAAAUUGUUUUAACAAAAUGUUGUUCUGGCUCUUGAAUUACAUGAUAGAACUGCAGAUUGUUUUAAAAAUUAAACUGUUGGGUUGUUUUUGCGUAAGAGGCUCGGGCACCGGCCCAGCGUGAAAGGUGGCUCCUUAAGCCCGGAUUACCGGAAUUCGUAAUAUUUGUCAACCUUGCUGAAUAAGCUUGGUUUAUGGACUAUAGCAUGACUGAUCAUCUGUUAUAGCCAGGUGUCCAAUUAAUUUUAAAGCCCAAUAAAAUUGUGAAUAGUUUAAAAAGAAGUUACCCUGCCUUCAAGAGAUAUUUGCUUAUACAUUCAUUUCUGCAGUUUUAAAUAUUUUCACUUCUUUAUUAUGGCAUUGCUGUACAACAAAUAUCAAUUUCAUUUUGUUAUUCUUGCUGAGCAUUAUUGCUCAUUCUUGCUAUUCCUUCUAACCCUUUUCAGCUAGGAAUAAAGAUGAUUCACUUAAGACUAGGCAAGGAUUGCAAGUGGUUGAGUUUCAAGCAGAUGGACAGGUAGAGUAUUUAGGACGAUGUCAUUAAGACUAGAUGCAGUUGGAGUUCUGCAAUUCAAUUCAGUUGGAAAUUAGAUUUGUUUAUUUGGUUAUCAGCUACUCUUCUUAUCGAGGUUUAGCUGAUAAUGUUGUUUAAUUUGUAAAUAAGAUUUUAUAGUUUUAGUUUCUGAUUUCAAUGCUGUAGCCUGUAUGCGAUCCUGUUUUCAGGGGGUGAAAUUGAUUUUGAAUUAAAGACCUUCUUUUAAAAAAAUAAUAUCCAGGUUUAGAAAUACUUGUUUUUACUUUCUUCCAAAAAUACAGGUUUUAAAUUGUUUUUCUUUUAAUGGCUCAAAACUACAGGUUUUAAAUUAUUUUUAUUUACACGUGGCACCAGAUCUAGACCCCCGGAUUUGAGGGAUGUCACAGUUGGUAUCAGAGCUACAGGUUAUAAGUUAUUGAAAUCAGAAUGUAGGUUGUAACUUGUCUAAUAAGAUAGACACGUUAAGUGAAACCUCACAUAUAGGUAAGUUCAGAUUAGUGGUGUAACCUCAUAUAGAGGUAUCGUAAGACUAUUUGGGGAUAGUCCUUUUGAGCAUAAUAAAAUGAAGCUAAACGAUUAUGUUUAAGUGAUUAUGGUUAUAGACACAACAAUUCCUAAUUCUAGUUCUUCCAGUCCCUAGUGGCCUAGUUUAUUGACCAAUUCAGAUUUAUAUCAUUGUAAGAGGGUCAAAGUUAGACCUAUCAACAGAACCUUCAAGCUAGAACCAGUAGAGAUUCUCACACAGUCUAAUGUAUCCUUUAUAGUAUCUUCCAAGUGUUGAGUAUUAUUUGAAGAGUCACCUUUUGAUUCUUGUCAGAGAUAUCUAGAAUUGGUGAAAGAAUAGAGGUGUUAACAAGUCCGAGUUUACAGCUUUGUAUAUAGUUAAGUAGUGAGCGUUAGAGCUACGUAGAGUUUGUGUUAGAUUAUUCGAUCUAGUACUUAUGUGUGAGUUAAGAUGUCAACGCUCUAUGGUGAUGAUUGUAUAAAGUUGGAUAAGACUUUUGACCGACAACGAUAUCAAUGAUGGGAUCUUCAGAGGCUAUUACUAGUCAACGAUAAUAUAUGCAAGUGGUCACUAAAACGUCAAGAAAAAUCACUAGAAUCAGAACGAGUCAUCAAAAGAAUCGAUCAAAAAGACAUCUGUGAGAAUCCUGGCAAUACCUUCCUCAUUGUUGAUAUAUUGAUUUCUUUCCCCAUCAAUGAUUUGUUCUGACAUCACUUUAAAAAAAAAAAAUAUUUGAUAAAGAGUAUAUUUUUACCUUUCACUCGAGUUCUCGAAUGAUACUUGUGCUUACUGUCACACCUAUAGAAUCUAUUCAAUCUUGGUAAUUUCGAACCCUUUCAUAUUCUUUACUCUAACUGAGAUGAACAACCCUACCUAUAGGGGACACAAGGACUACCUGUCUGUGUGAUAGGAGUUGGAUGGGACGCCAUCACUUGUGUGUGUUGUACAUUACAAGAAGGUUAACUACCUUUAGUAGUGUCUUAAAUUAGACACGCAACACCGAGUUCUAUAGACCAUAUUGAUCUCUCAGUUAUUCAUUUAUUUCAAUCACGUAACACUUGCUCCAAUAUGUGAAAUCUGUCAUAUCUUUUACCUUCAAGAUUCUUCUAAUCUCUAAUAGUUGGAGGUAUGCCAACCGAGUUGCCAAUAUGAAUUAAGACUUUGUAGUAAGAAGCACCAGGGAUGAAAGCGAAUGACAAUGCUGGUUAUAUCAGAAAGGAAUAUUAUGGAUUAUAGAGAUCGUACACUCUAGUUUUCUUUUUGAUGAUUCCGAGGACGGAAUCUUUUUAAGGGGGGUAGAUUGUGACGACCCGGAUUUUCAGAAAUUAUUUUAUUAUUUUUAUUCAUGAUUAUUCGAGACAAAUGAGGAAUAAAUUUCAAUAUUUUAUUCUAGUUUGAUAAUUUUCAAAAAUAUUUGUUUAAAUUAUUUUCCUAGUCAUUGUGAUUAUGAGAAAAUAUCUGUUGAUUGUACAAUUAUAUGUUACGAGAUUUAAUUGAAUUAGUUGUCUACUAUUAUGUCUGUGUGUGCAUUUAUUUUUACUUUUAAUAUUACUGUAUUGUUUUAUUGAAAUUUAUUAUCCUCUUAAAUGGAUAUUUAUUUUUGUAAAAAUACAAAGAUAAUUUCAAAAAUUAUUUUAAUUGCUCGAUAGUGAUCAUAAAUAUGUUUAGAAGUUUUUAAAAUAUUAAAAAUCCAAUUUCUACAAGGACAUGAUUUUUAAUUAGUUUCUAAACGCAGCUAACUUCUUAAUUUUGUAUAAAUUUUGAAAAUGCUCUAUAAAUCUUGAAACUUUUAUUUUAUGAGUUUUAUAAUAUUCGGUAAUUUAUAAAAUUAGUUUGUUAAUUUUUCGAGAAAGUUUUAAUGCGAGUUAUCCCGUAAAUCAACUAAAUAGCGGGUGUUUGGAUGAUUAUUCAGCUUAAAAUAAAACGUGGCAGCCUUUGGCCAAACCACGUGCCCUGCUUUUCACCACCGCCAUCCCUUUUCUUCAUUUUAUAUACAUCAGCCUCUCAAUCUCUCUCUCUCUCUCUCUGUGAAAUCCUCCAUCUCUCCCUCUCCGCUCCUCUUUCUUUUCUCACCCAUCUUCCUCUCUUUCUUGGCAUCACCGUCCCUUCCCUGCAGCCGCCGAAUUAUGCCGUUAUGCCGCUGCCACCUCUUUCCAGCGACCACCAUAGCCCUGCACCAAUUAUAAAUCAGUGGGUGUAAAGCUUAAUUUCUCUUUGUCAAAUCAGUUCUAUAUAAACGUAUAUAUACAUGUGGUGUUGUGUUUAUAUGGAUUAAAUUGAUUUAUAUAAUCGAUUUAUGUGUGCUUGUAUGUAUAUAAACUGAUUAUAUGCUGGUUUUUGAAAUUUGAAGGUUGAUUGAAUUUUUGAGAUUGAGAUUGGUGUUAGUAAUCGUAUGAUUGAAUUGUGUGCUUAAUUGAUAUUUGAAUUGGUUGUUGUAAGUUGAUUAUAAAUAGUGCGCCAAUUAGUAGUGUAAUCGGAUGACUUGGGUACUUGAAUUAUGGGAAUAUAUAACUGAGUAUUCAAGCUUUAAGGUCUGAGAUUUUUGUAAAUGUUUUCAAAGUGGUGUUUUAAGAGUUUAAGUAUUGGGCUAAAAAAAAAUUUUGAUUUACACAUAUUCGGUUGAAUUCUAGAUUGCUGUUGAUCUGUUUUGAAUUACAACUCUGGGAUCAUAGAGUUGAAUUAUAUGCUUAAUAUUUGUGUGGUUAUGUGCUCCUUAGAGUCUAGUUUAUGUGCGCGAAAGAACCGAAUCGAUUCGAUUAGCGAGCUAGGAGAUAUGACCGUUUUAGUAUAGUAUGGUGCUGAAAAUUCUGGGCAGGUUUGUCCUGUUCCAGGCUCUGUUUUACAGCUUUAAACUUGGAUUUUCUUUCUGAAAAUUUUACUGUAGGUUGGAAUAAUAUUUAGGAGUGUCUCAUAAAAAUUUCGUAUUAAAAAGAUAAUUUUUCAAUUUAUUAAAAAUCAUAGACCGAGGGCUGUUUGAACUAUUUGUUCUAUUUUUCUUUCUUUGCUAGUGCAUAGUAUGAGGUUAUACUUGACUAAUUGCAUAUGAUUGAUUAUUACAUUGAUUGGCUCGGUUAACCUUGUAUAUCUAAUUAAAAGUGUUUUGCGUAUAACAAGUUAGCAAUCCUGCUAAAAGAUUUUAUUAUAUGUUUACUACAAGUCAAGACAGAUUUUCUUAUGUGUUUACUGCAAGUCAAGGGAUCUUUUUAUAUUAAUAAUUCAUGUGUUAGCAAUAGUAUUGGUUGGUUGUUGGCAUUGCAAACAGGUGGAUAAGCUUAUAAACAGAGGAGAUGCUGCCGAAUUUUCGUUAGAAAUUAUAUGGAUUUAAUGCCUAUAAAAAGGGUUGUUUGUACAACUAUGUGCUAUGUGUUUAUGUGACUGUGGUAUGUAUAUGCGAAGGGUAGAUAUAUAUAUAGGUCUUAAUGCAAUUCAGGGUUAGUCAAUAUGUCUAAUCCGACGACUGAAAUACUAUUUUAUCAUCGUAUAGAAUUGAAGACAUUGACCGAGGCAUUAAUCGAGAAGUGAUUGAAAGGGGUAUUCAGAAAUAGCCAAGCAGAAUGUUACAAGUUGAAGUAGGACGGAGAUUUGUUAUAGAUAAAAGUGUGUCAGAAGCUGGCAGAAAGGAAUGAUUAUGCGGUAUAUAGUGUUACUAGGAAUCUGAGCUAAACUUUGGAGUUAAGGCAAGUACUUCUACCUUCUCUCGCAAUUUAGAAGCAAGUAUUUCUACCCUACUCCUCUAGUACCUAUAGAUACUAAAACCUUCUUUAUAUCAUGAUUCAAAUUAUUUGCAAUUACUUUCUUGUGAAGCAUAUCUAGUACUUUUAAACUUUUUGGUUGAACGGAUAACACUUUUGGUAUCAACUCUACACUAUGAUAUGCAUAAAGAAAUUGUUUUAACAAAAUGUUAUUCUGGCUCUUGAAUUACAUGAUGGAACUGCAGAUUGUUUUAAAAAUUAAACUAUUGGGUUGUUUUUGCGUAAGAGGCUCGGGCACCGGCCCAGCGUGAAAGGUGGCUCCUUAAGCCCGGAUUACCGGAAUUCGUAAUAUUUGUCAACCUUGCUGAAUAAGCUUGGUUUAUGGACUAUAGCAUGACUGAUCAUCUGUUAUAGCCAGGUGUCCAAUUAUUUUUAAAGCCCAAUAAAAUUGUGAAUAGUUUAAAAAGAAGUUACCCUGCCUUCAAGAGAUAUUUGCUUAUACAUUCAUUUCUGCAGUUUUAAAUAUUUUCACUUCUUUAUUAUGGCAUUGCUGUACAACA
RNAcentral lists this long non-coding RNA (10745 nucleotides) under Daucus carota (carrot). RNAcentral's name for it is "long non-coding RNA (DCAR_LNC003537)". The record is from RNAcentral. Lineage: Eukaryota; Viridiplantae; Streptophyta; Magnoliopsida; Apiales; Apiaceae.